UCAAGGUCCUCCCUGGACACGGAAGCCCCCGUCUUCGUCUGCUUCAUCUGGUACGACAGACUGCCUGAGUCUGGGUCAUUUAUAAAGAGCAGAGGUUUCUCCCCCUUAGUUCUGGAGACCGGGAAGCCCAAGACCAAGACACCCGAGUAUUUGGUGUCUGGUGGAGGACCAGCCGCUGGCUCCAAGAUGGUGCCACGACGCUGCCUCUGGCAGAGGGCGGCAGUGCUGUGUGCACUCACAGGGCAGAAGGCCGAAGGCAGGAGCUCUGGAUGCUGCAUGAAGCCCCUUUCAUAAGGGGCCUGAUGCCCUCCGCUCACGAGGGAGGAGUUCCCGUGCCCUGACAGCCUCUUCAUGUUAUCACCUGAAUUUUGGAAACACAUUGAAGUGCAGCACUCUCGGGAAGCUCCUUGUGGCAUCCACACCCCAUGAAUGCUCGAGCCCCUGGCCAGGAUCCUCCUUGUCCUCAGUGGAAAAGCCAGAGCCCGACUCUGCUGACUGUUGCCAGUUGAGGGGUCUGCACUGCGCUGCCACUGCAGAGAGCUCAGUAGCAGCAUGAGCAGCCCUCCGGGUUGCAUGCUUUUCCCUCCAUCUGAAGAUGUGAAGCUGAGGAGGGAGGCAGAGGGCAGCACCUGAGGCCAAAAGGCUGGCAGAAACUCAGCUUUCAAAGGCCUCUGAGCUCCUUCCGCUGCAGCCAUCUCCAGUGAGAAAGCACCCCCUCCUGGUGCCACGGAAACAAGGAUUCUUGGUCCAGUUCCUCCAAGGAGCAGGGCUGCAGCUGCACAGCAGAAGGGAAGUGGGCCGGAGCACGCAUGUCAUUUACAACAUUGAAAUUGGAUUCUUCCCAGCUGGGGAGCCGUCACCCUGUGGAGUCAGAUCAAUGUUCAGAGCACGAUGCAAACUCAUGCUGGGUUUUUGUAUGGGCCUCACCCCAUGGCUUUUGACAGUCAGUUGUUCAGUCAAUAAACAAUUAUUGGGC
RNAcentral lists this long non-coding RNA (976 nucleotides) under Fukomys damarensis (Damara mole-rat). RNAcentral's name for it is "lncRNA (ENSFDAG00000026862.1)". The record is from RNAcentral. Lineage: Eukaryota; Metazoa; Chordata; Mammalia; Rodentia; Bathyergidae.